This 498-nucleotide ribosomal RNA is filed under the name uncultured bacterium. RNAcentral describes it as "partial 16S ribosomal RNA". It matches the Rfam family "Bacterial small subunit ribosomal RNA", at positions 30 to 523 of the family's 1533-position model. The record is from RNAcentral.
AUUGAACGCUGGCGGCAUGCCUUACACAUGCAAGUCGAACGGUAACAGGUCUUCGGAUGCUGAUGAGUGGCGAACGGGUGAGUAAUACAUCGGAACGUGCCUAGUAGUGGGGGAUAACUACUCGAAAGAGUGGCUAAUACCGCAUGAGAUCUACGGAUGAAAGCAGGGGAUCGCAAGACCUUGCGCUACUAGAGCGGCCGAUGGCAGAUUAGGUAGUUGGUGGGAUAAAAGCUUACCAAGCCGACGAUCUGUAGCUGGUCUGAGAGGACGAUCAGCCACACUGGGACUGAGACACGGCCCAGACUCCUACGGGAGGCAGCAGUGGGGAAUUUUGGACAAUGGGCGAAAGCCUGAUCCAGCAAUGCCGCGUGCAGGAUGAAGGCCUUCGGGUUGUAAACUGCUUUUGUACGGAACGAAAAGCCCCGGGUUAAUACCCUGGGGUCAUGACGGUACCGUAAGAAUAAGCACCGGCUAACAACGUGCCAGCCGCCGCCGUAA